This 253-nucleotide ribosomal RNA is filed under the name uncultured bacterium. Its description in RNAcentral is "partial 16S ribosomal RNA". It matches the Rfam family "Bacterial small subunit ribosomal RNA", at positions 524 to 776 of the family's 1533-position model. The record is from RNAcentral.
UACGAAGGGGGCUAGCGUUGCUCGGAAUCACUGGGCGUAAAGGGUGCGUAGGCGGGUUUUUAAGUCAGAGGUGAAAUCCUGGAGCUCAACUCCAGAACUGCCUUUGAUACUGAGAAUCUUGAGUAUGGGAGAGGUGAGUGGAACUGCGAGUGUAGAGGUGAAAUUCGUAGAUAUUCGCAAGAACACCAGUGGCGAAGGCGGCUCACUGGCCCGGUACUGACGCUGAGGUGCGAAAGCGUGGGGAGCGAACAGG